RNAcentral lists this ribosomal RNA (1349 nucleotides) under uncultured bacterium. Its description in RNAcentral is "bacterial SSU rRNA". It matches the Rfam family "Bacterial small subunit ribosomal RNA", at positions 28 to 1381 of the family's 1533-position model. The record is from RNAcentral.
GACGAACGCUGGCGGCGUGCUUAACACAUGCAAGUCGAACGAUGAAGCCUAGCUUGCUAGGUGGAUUAGUGGCGAACGGGUGAGUAAUACGUGAGUAACCUACCUUUAACUCUGGGAUAAGCCUGGGAAACUGGGUCUAAUACCGGAUACGACCAAUCUCCGCAUGGGAUGUUGGUGGAAAGCGUUAUGUAGUGGUUAUAGAUGGGCUCACGGCCUAUCAGCUUGUUGGUGAGGUAACGGCUCACCAAGGCGACGACGGGUAGCCGGCCUGAGAGGGUGACCGGCCACACUGGGACUGAGACACGGCCCAGACUCCUACGGGAGGCAGCAGUGGGGAAUAUUGCACAAUGGGCGCAAGCCUGAUGCAGCGACGCCGCGUGAGGGAUGACGGCCUUCGGGUUGUAAACCUCUGUUAGCAGGGAAGAAGAGAGAUUGACGGUACCUGCAGAGAAAGCGCCGGCUAACUACGUGCCAGCAGCCGCGGUAAUACGUAGGGCGCGAGCGUUGUCCGGAAUUAUUGGGCGUAAAGAGCUUGUAGGGCGGUUUGUCGCGUCUGCUGUGAAAGGCCGGAGCUUAACUCCGUGUAUUGCAGUGGGUACGGGCAGACUAGAGUGCAGUAGGGGAGACUGGAAUUCCUGGUGUAGCGGUGGAAUGCGCAGAUAUCAGGAGGAACACCGAUGGCGAAGGCAGGUCUCUGGGCUGUAACUGACGCUGAGAAGCGAAAGCAUGGGGAGCGAACAGGAUUAGAUACCCUGGUAGUCCAUGCCGUAAACGUUGGGCACUAGGUGUGGGGGACAUUCCACGUUUUCCGCGCCGUAGCUAACGCAUUAAGUGCCCCGCCUGGGGAGUACGGCCGCAAGGCUAAAACUCAAAGAAAUUGACGGGGGCCCGCACAAGCGGCGGAGCAUGCGGAUUAAUUCGAUGCAACGCGAAGAACCUUACCAAGGCUUGACAUAUACUGGACCGCAUCAGAGAUGGUGUUUCCCUUCGGGGCUGGUAUACAGGUGGUGCAUGGUUGUCGUCAGCUCGUGUCGUGAGAUGUUGGGUUAAGUCCCGCAACGAGCGCAACCCUCGUUCUAUGUUGCCAGCACGUUAUGGUGGGGACUCAUAGGAGACUGCCGGGGUCAACUCGGAGGAAGGUGGGGAUGACGUCAAAUCAUCAUGCCCCUUACGUCUUGGGCUUCACGCAUGCUACAAUGGCCGGUACAGAGGGUUGCGAUACUGUGAGGUGGAGCUAAUCCCUAAAAGCCGGUCUCAGUUCGGAUUGGGGUCUGCAACUCGACCCCAUGAAGUCGGAGUCGCUAGUAAUCGCAGAUCAGCAACGCUGCGGUGAAUACGUUCCCGGGCCU